GCCGAUAGGGCUGCAUGGUGCAGGUUACUGUGAUAUAGUAGUUGUAAGAUUUUCUUCGUCGGUA
Molecule: transfer RNA, 64 nt
Filed under: Azygia hwangtsiyui
Lineage: Eukaryota; Metazoa; Platyhelminthes; Trematoda; Azygiida; Azygiidae
Description: tRNA-Ile
Source: RNAcentral